UCCUCUAAUUUAUCCGCUAUCUAUCUCUUGACAUCAGUCGGACAUCUCCAAGUCUUAAGAUAAUCAAGACUCGAUUUUUUACCGAAUCAUAUCUCAUAUGGUAUAGUAGGAAUGAACUUUGAUGAAAUCCUAUUCAACAAGUGAAUUAUAGUUAAUAAGGCAUGUUCUCAAAGAUAUAAGGGUAGAUCAGUGAAGCUCAUCAUGAACCUGACC
Molecule: long non-coding RNA, 213 nt
Filed under: Elaeis guineensis (African oil palm)
Lineage: Eukaryota; Viridiplantae; Streptophyta; Magnoliopsida; Arecales; Arecaceae
Description: long non-coding RNA (EGUI_LNC053417)
Source: RNAcentral